RNAcentral lists this ribosomal RNA (343 nucleotides) under Glomus sp. (unid). Lineage: Eukaryota; Fungi; Glomeromycota; Glomeromycetes; Glomerales; Glomeraceae. The record is from RNAcentral.
CAGUCGUACCGGCGGAUAAUCAGCCUUUCGGGUGCGAUUCUGUGGGGCGUGAGGAGCUUAACCGCCUUCAUGUUUUGCAUAUUCGUGCACAUUUGGUGUACUUGUCCGUGUGGUGGGUUAACAUCAAUUUCGGUCGUCAUAAAAUGAUUGGAGGAAUGUAGCUUUGGUCUCGUAUUGAAGUGUUAUAGCCUUUGGUAGAUGUGAUGUUUGAGACCGAGGAUUGCAACGGAUACCCUUCGGGGCUAGUUCGUCUGAUCUCUGAUACGUUGCCUUGAUGUUGAAGCUUGCUUAUGAUGUUAGGGUAUUACGGUCAAAGGUUAGAACGAAUUACAUUCGUUAAGGA